CGGCGGCGCAGGAGGGGGCGGGUUCGGUGAGGGCGCGGCCUCUGAGAGGGGGGCGCACGCCGCGCAUCCCCCGCCCUCGCCCGGGGCCACUCCGGAGCCUCGCGGCCGCACGGUGCCCCACUUGGCCAUCCGCUCCGUGCUGCACCUCUCGCCCGCCUCCUCUUGUCACCUCCCGUCUCACCCUUCUCUCUCCAUCCCCGCCGCAUACCCCACCCUCCGAGUGCCUCAGAGUCGGAGGGGGUGCACGGGGCUGCAGGGCGCGACCUCAAGCGGUCCCCAGCUCGGCUUUAGGGGGCACGGGCAGCAGCAUGGACACCAAGCGCUGCUUCGCCAACCGCUUCGAUGACUACCAGGGCAGCCUGCCGGCGGGCCAGUGCGAAGAGGCGGUGGCGCCCUUGGUCACCGCCACCAUCGAGCGCAUCCUCCAGGAGCUGCCCCCACUCGGGGGCGGCGCUGAGGCGCGGGGGGCGACGGCCGGAGCCAGCUGCUGCCAGGGGGGUCUGUACGGCGGCGUGGCCGGGGUGGCCUACAUGCUCUACCACGUCUCGCAGAGCCCGCUCUUCGCCGCCGCCCGGGAGCGCUACCUGCGCUCGGCCAAGCGCCUCAUCGACGCGUGCGCCCGCGUCGAGGAGUGGGGCGAGCCGGACGCCGACACCCGCGCCGCCUUCCUGCUCGGGGGCGCGGGCGUGUACGCUGUGGCCACGCUCGUGUACUACGCCCUGGGCCGGUCCGACUACGUGCAGCCGCUGGGCAAGUUCCGGGCUCUGUGCUCGGUGUGCGCGCCGGUCUCCUUCCUGGAGUGCGGCUCCGACGAGCUGUUCGUGGGCCGCGCGGGCUACCUGUGUGCCGCGCUGGUGCUCAAGCAGAAACUCGCCCAGGAGGUAAGAGGCAGCCCCGGCCGCGAGAGGGCGCUCGCCGCCUGCCCGGCCGUGCCCGACCGCCCUUGCUCGGACUCCCUGGCUCCGGCAAUAGCGCCCCUGCUUGUUCCUCAUCCUUUGUUACCCUUUGUCUGGCGCUGUCGUUUAAUUCUGGGUCUUGAGGUUCAUCUCCUGCUUUUGUCCGCCUUCUUUCCUCUCCUUUUCAGUCUCUAA
Carlito syrichta (Philippine tarsier) is the source of this 1091-nucleotide RNA transcript. It is a transcript of the gene named lanC-like protein 3 pseudogene, with no coding region annotated. The transcript has a single exon. The record is from RefSeq and is a predicted model, not a curated record. Lineage: Eukaryota; Metazoa; Chordata; Mammalia; Primates; Tarsiidae.